RNAcentral lists this RNase P RNA (477 nucleotides) under Gammaproteobacteria bacterium. RNAcentral describes it as "RNase P RNA component class A". It matches the Rfam family "Bacterial RNase P class A". Rfam says of the family: Ribonuclease P (RNase P) is a ubiquitous endoribonuclease, found in archaea, bacteria and eukarya as well as chloroplasts and mitochondria. Its best characterised activity is the generation of mature 5'-ends of tRNAs by cleaving the 5'-leader elements of precursor-tRNAs. Cellular RNase Ps are ribonucleoproteins. The record is from RNAcentral. Lineage: Bacteria; Pseudomonadati; Pseudomonadota; Gammaproteobacteria.
GAAGUUGGCUAAACAGUCGCCUCUCUGCUUAUUUUAUGCAUCGCUACCUAGUGCGCUUUAAUUGCAAAGGAUGUAUAGAAUAAGUAGAGGGGAGGAAAGUCCGGGCUCUAUGGGCAGGGUGCCAGGUAACGCCUGGAGGAUGAGAAUCCAUGGAAAGUGCAGCAGAAAAUAAACCGCCCGGCUACUCACUUAAACGCUUCGCUGAAAUAGUAAGUGGUGAAAGGCUAGCGAACUAAGUGUAGUGCUUAAGUGAGUAGUCAGGUAAGGGUGAAAUGGUGCGGUAAGAGCGCACCGCGCAGCUGGCAACAGAUGUGGCAAGGUAAACCCCACCUAGAGCAAGACCAAAUAGGGGGACAUGGAGAAUUCCAGCGUAUGGCCCGUACGGUCCCCGGGUAGGUUGCUUGAGAUUUGUGGUGACAUAAGUCCUAGAUGAAUGGCUGUUCUCGACAGAACCCGGCUUAUCGGCUGACUUCCAAA